UAGGGAAUCUUCCGCAAUGGGCGAAAGCCUGACGGAGCAACGCCGCGUGAGUGAUGAAGGUCUUCGGAUCGUAAAACUCUGUUAUUAGGGAAGAACAAAUGUGUAAGUAACUUUGCACGUCUUGACGGUACCUAAUCAGAAAGCCACGGCUAACUACGUGCCAGCAGCCGCGGUAAUACGUAGGUGGCAAGCGUUAUCCGGAAUUAUUGGGCGUAAAGCGCGCGUAGGCGGUUUUUUAAGUCUGAUGUGAAAGCCCACGGCUCAACCGUGGAGGGUCAUUGGAAACUGGAAAACUUGAGUGCAGAAGAGGAAAGUGGAAUUCCAUGUGUAGCGGUGAAAUGCGCAGAGAUAUGGAGGAACACCAGUGGCGAAGGCGACUUUCUGGUCUGUAACUGACGCUGAUGUGCGAAAGCGUGGGGAUCAAACAGG
RNAcentral lists this ribosomal RNA (429 nucleotides) under Actinomycetes bacterium. Its description in RNAcentral is "Actinobacteria bacterium partial 16S ribosomal RNA". It matches the Rfam family "Bacterial small subunit ribosomal RNA", at positions 355 to 776 of the family's 1533-position model. The record is from RNAcentral. Lineage: Bacteria; Bacillati; Actinomycetota; Actinomycetes.